This 672-nucleotide ribosomal RNA is filed under the name uncultured bacterium. Its description in RNAcentral is "bacterial SSU rRNA". It matches the Rfam family "Bacterial small subunit ribosomal RNA", at positions 8 to 691 of the family's 1533-position model. The record is from RNAcentral.
AGAGUUUGAUUCUGGCUCAGGAUGAACGCUGGCGGCGUGCUUAACACAUGCAAGUCGAACGGGCUCAUAUUGAAACCUAGUGAUGUAUGAGUUAGUGGCGGACGGGUGAGUAACGCGUGGAGAACCUGCCGUAUACUGGGGGAUAACACUUAGAAAUAGGUGCUAAUACCGCAUAAGCGCACAGCUUCGCAUGAAGCAGUGUGAAAAACUCCGGUGGUAUACGAUGGAUCCGCGUCUGAUUAGCUGGUUGGCGGGGUAACAGCCCACCAAGGCGACGAUCAGUAGCCGGCCUGAGAGGGUGAACGGCCACAUUGGGACUGAGACACGGCCCAAACUCCUACGGGAGGCAGCAGUGGGGAAUAUUGCACAAUGGGGGAAACCCUGAUGCAGCGACGCCGCGUGAGUGAAGAAGUAUUUCGGUAUGUAAAGCUCUAUCAGCAGGGAAGAAAAUGACGGUACCUGACUAAGAAGCCCCGGCUAACUACGUGCCAGCAGCCGCGGUAAUACGUAGGGGGCAAGCGUUAUCCGGAUUUACUGGGUGUAAAGGGAGCGUAGACGGCAGCGCAAGUCUGAAGUGAAAUCCCAUGGCUUAACCAUGGAACUGCUUUGGAAACUGUGCAGCUGGAGUGCAGGAGAGGUAAACGGAAUUCCUAGUGUAGCGGUGAAAUGCGU